CCAAUAGCGUAUAUUAAAGUUGUUGCAGUUAAAAAGCUCGUAGUUGAAUUUCGGGAUCAAUACGUCGGUCGUGCCUCUGGUAUGAACUGGUGUUAUUGAUUCCUCCUUUCUGAUAAACCAUGAUGUCAUUAAUUUGGUGUUGUGGGGAGUCAGGACUGUUACUUUGAAAAAAUUAGAGUGUUUAAAGCAGGCCUACGCUUGAAUACAUUAGCAUGGAAUAAUGAAAUAGGACGUUCGAACCUAUUUUGUUGGUUUCUAGGAUCAACGUAAUGAUUAAUAGGGAUAGUUGGGGGCAUUAGUAUUCAAUUGUCAGAGGUGAAAUUCUUGGAUUUAUUGAAGACUAACUACUGCGAAAGCAUUUGCCAAGGAUGUGUUCAUUAAUCAAGAACGAAAGUUAGGGGAUCGAAGACGAUCAGAUACCGUCGUAGUCUUAACCAUAAACUAUGCCGACUAGGGAUCGGAUGAUGUUAAUUUUUUAAUGACUCAUUCGGCGCCUUACG
RNAcentral lists this ribosomal RNA (500 nucleotides) under uncultured Glomeromycotina. RNAcentral describes it as "partial small subunit ribosomal RNA". It matches the Rfam family "Eukaryotic small subunit ribosomal RNA", at positions 591 to 1092 of the family's 1831-position model. Lineage: Eukaryota; Fungi; Glomeromycota. The record is from RNAcentral.